UCGUGCUAGGCGGGGAGCCAGCGGUGCCCUGUACCCGCAAUCCGCUCUAGCGGGGCUGAAUCCCCUCCCGAGGUCCGGCAUCGCGGAUCCUGCGUGCGCGUGGAGG
RNAcentral lists this signal recognition particle RNA (106 nucleotides) under Chloroflexota bacterium. Its description in RNAcentral is "Chloroflexi bacterium partial signal recognition particle sRNA large type". It matches the Rfam family "Bacterial large signal recognition particle RNA", at positions 1 to 112 of the family's 256-position model. Rfam says of the family: The signal recognition particle (SRP) is a universally conserved ribonucleoprotein involved in the co-translational targeting of proteins to membranes. Archaeal SRP consists of a 7S RNA and homologues of the eukaryotic SRP19 and SRP54 proteins. The record is from RNAcentral. Lineage: Bacteria; Bacillati; Chloroflexota.